UACGGAGGGUGCAAGCGUUGUCCGGAAUCACUGGGCGUAAAGGGCGCGUAGGCGGCUCAUGAAGGCUGUGGUGAAAGUCCGGGGCUCAACCUCGGAUCGGCCGUGGCGACUCGUGGGCUGGAGCACUGUAGAGGCGGGUGGAAUUCCGGGUGUAGCGGUGGAAUGCGUAGAGAUCCGGAAGAACACCAGUGGCGAAGGCGGCCCGCUGGACCACAACUGACGCUGAGGCGCGAAAGCUAGGGGAGCAAACAGG
Molecule: ribosomal RNA, 253 nt
Filed under: uncultured bacterium
Lineage: Bacteria
Description: partial 16S ribosomal RNA
Rfam family: Bacterial small subunit ribosomal RNA
Source: RNAcentral